CCCCAUGGCCUAUAUAAAGGAUCUGCUUUCUGGCAGUCUCUGAGUCAGGCAAAGUCGAACUUAUCUUGCUGAAGUCACUUACUGGUCUCCUGCCUGCUCUGAGGACUUUGCUAGGACUUUGGGCAGAGCUGCAGAGGCAAGCCUGAUUCGGAUUUCCCUGACCCGGCCGUCAGCGGAGGAGUGGGACACGACAUCAGGUCUCAGGAGGCGAAAAAACAAAACCACGGCUUUCUUUGUCGGAGAAAACAGCAGGUAAGUCUACUGACCCAUGAUUUGGAGAAGUUCCAAAGAGACGUCUUUGACACAUGCCCUAGCUAAGGAAGAAAAAGCAUCCACUGUUCCUGUCGUUGGAGUGACAUUUUAGAAGCACGCUGGGCGAAACCUGCUGAUGACAUUUCCAGUGCAGAUUUCCCGGGACUGUAAAAAGCCGAAGGAAAAGUUUGGCCGAGUUGUCUUCUUUUACAAUUGCACAGGAGGAAAUGGGUGUGACCCUGGCCAUGUAUCUGGGAUUUUGGAAGUCCUUUUCAAGAGGCAAUCUUUCUUUCUCCAGCCAUCAGCUGCUCGCUAAAAAGAAACUCACAACUUUUACACACAAAUCUGUGCCAGAAUAAGCUACCUCCGGCAACAUCCUAGCCUUCCAUCCACCCCACCCUCCCGCUCUCCAGUCUCAACUGUCAGUACCGCUCCUUCCAACACCCCCACCAUCAGAACUGAUGAAGCUUCUUGGAUGAGAAGGGAAAUGUUUUCUUCUUCUUUCUCGAGGAAAAAACAGUUGCCUUUUGAAAAGCACCUUUGAGACAGCUAUAACCUGGAUGAUUUAGAAUCUCCACAGGGUUUAUAAAUCAGUUUGUAUGGUGCUACUAACAGAAGGCAUUUCUGACCUCACCCAAGACCACAGGUUUGUCGUGUUUCGGGAGCUGGGUCAGAACACAGACCCUGCCGUUCCCUCUGCUGCAAAGACCACCAGUCUUCUCAGUGAACUGGUCCGAACCUGCUGAAACCCACCUCUGAGUCUUCUUCGGUGGGAAUCCUUGGAAAUCCUUUGCUGGUUGUGCUUCAGAGAUUUUCCGUCUCCAUGGCGACCGUCUGUGUCUUCUCCAUCGGAGAAGAAGGAUGCCUUUGCACAGGAAGAAGUUUGCAAAUGUGGCUUCGGAAAGAGGAUGUGGCGGCUUUCUUCGUCCUUUCUGCGGGCGUCAGAUUCCGCAAUCGCAGCCAUUCAGCGGAGGAUCCGGGAAAACCCCUUUCGUCAUUUUCUGACGCAGGGAUCAAAACCAACCAGAGCAACCGAGUUUUUCCCUUCCGUAAACACCGAAGGACCAAAAUAUUUGCAGGUGGCCCUUGACUUAGGACCAGAACGGAGCCAAAUAUGUCCGUUGCUAGGCAAGACCAUUAAGUGAGUUUUGACCCAUUUCACAACCUUUCUUGUCACUGUGGUUAAGGGAAUCCUUGAAGUUGUUCA
Molecule: long non-coding RNA, 1459 nt
Organism: Ahaetulla prasina
Lineage: Eukaryota; Metazoa; Chordata; Lepidosauria; Squamata; Colubridae
Exons: 3
Source: RefSeq, a predicted model, not a curated record